This 325-nucleotide long non-coding RNA is filed under the name Mytilus galloprovincialis (Mediterranean mussel). The record is from RNAcentral. Lineage: Eukaryota; Metazoa; Mollusca; Bivalvia; Mytilida; Mytilidae.
GUUGUUUCCGUAUAUGUUAUGUUUCAUUGCUCAUGUGUUGUUUUCGUAUAUUUUAGCCGAUCGUCUUGAGCCUACUCAAUUGAUCCGAUAACACCCCAUAUAGCAAUAAAAUGCCAUUCAUAACUCUUAACAGACCAAUUAACAGUCCGGGUUUUAUACAUCCGACCCAUUAACAGACCAUGUUUUAAAUAAAGAUUGAUUUAUGUCACCAAAAUACAGAUUUUCGUGUAGAUUUUUCACACAAUGAUAUCAAUAUGGUUAAUAAACAUAAUGCCUUUCUUUUUUCGAUGUUCAAAAUAUUGAAUGCAAGUUAAUUUAACCAAUG